CGGGUGAGUAACGCGUGAGGAACCUGCCUCAAAGAGGGGGACAACAGUUGGAAACGACUGCUAAUACCGCAUAAGCCCACGGCUCGGCAUCGAGCAGAGGGAAAAGGAGCAAUCCGCUUUGAGAUGGCCUCGCGUCUGAUUAGCUGGUUGGUGAGGUAACGGCCCACCAAGGCGACGAUCGGUAGCCGGACUGAGAGGUUGAACGGCCACAUUGGGACUGAGACACGGCCCAG
RNAcentral lists this ribosomal RNA (233 nucleotides) under uncultured bacterium. RNAcentral describes it as "partial 16S ribosomal RNA". It matches the Rfam family "Bacterial small subunit ribosomal RNA", at positions 103 to 334 of the family's 1533-position model. The record is from RNAcentral.